This is a long non-coding RNA of Oncorhynchus tshawytscha (Chinook salmon), 985 nucleotides long. Lineage: Eukaryota; Metazoa; Chordata; Actinopteri; Salmoniformes; Salmonidae. The record is from Ensembl.
UAGAGCAGGUAGCCUAGUGGUUAGAGCAGGUAGCCUAGUGGUUAGAGCAGGUAGCCUAGUGGUUAGAGCAGGUUGCCUAGUGGUUAGAGCAGGUUGCCUAGUGGUUAGAGCAGGUAGCCUAGUGGUUAGAGCAGGUAGCCUAGUGGUUAGAGCAGGUUGACUAGUGGUUAGAGCAGGUAGCCUAGUGGUUAGAGCAGGUUGCCUAGGGGUUAGAGCAGGUAGCCUAGUGGUUAGAGCAGGUAGCCUAGUGGUUAGAGCAGGUAGCCUAGUGGUUAGAGCAGGUAGCCUAGUGGUUAGAGCAGGUAGCCUAGUGGUUAGAGCAGGUAGCCUAGUGGUUAGAGCAGGUAGCCUAGUGGUUGGAGCAGGUAGCCUAGUGGUUGGAGCAGCUAGCCUAGUGGUUAGAGCAGGUAGCCUAGUGGUUAGAGCAGCUAGCCUAGUGGUUAGAGACAGGUAGCCUAGUGGUUAGAGCAGGUAGCCUAGUGGUUAGAGCAGGUAGCCUAGUGGUUAGAGCCUAGUGGUUAGAGCAGGUAGCCUAGUGGUUGGAGCAGGUAGCCUAGUGGUUGGAGCAGCUAGCCUAGUGGUCAGAGCAGCUAGCCUAGUGGUUAGAGCAGGUAGCCUAGUGGUUAGAGACAGGUAGCCUAGUGGUUAGAGCAGGUAGCCUAGUGGUUAGAGUCUAGUGGUUAGAGCCUAGUGGUUAGAGCAGUUAGCCUAGUGGUUGAUCAGCUAGCCUAGUUGUUAGAGCCUAGUGGUUAGAGCAGGUAUCCUAGUGGUUAGAGCCUAGUGGUGAGAGCAGGUAGCCUAGUGGUUAGAGCAUUGGACUAGUAACCGAAAGAUCGAAUCCCCCGAGCUGAGAAGGUAAAAAUCUGUCCUUCUGCCCCUGAACUGUUCCCCGGUAGGCCGUCAUUGUCAAUAACAUUUUUUCUUAACUGACUUGUUAAAUUAAAGAUAAAAUGUAAAAAAACGCUACACACAGCCUACAUCGUUG